CCAUAUCACGUUGAAACACCGGUUCUCGUCCGUCCACUGAAGUUAAGCAACUUUGAGCCUGGUCAAUACCAAGAUGAGUGGCCGCUUAGGAAUAU
Acanthosepion pharaonis is the source of this 95-nucleotide non-coding RNA. The record is from the annotation of a GenBank genome assembly. Lineage: Eukaryota; Metazoa; Mollusca; Cephalopoda; Sepiida; Sepiidae.